RNAcentral lists this ribosomal RNA (5853 nucleotides) under Triticum aestivum (bread wheat). Its description in RNAcentral is "partial small subunit ribosomal RNA". The record is from RNAcentral. Lineage: Eukaryota; Viridiplantae; Streptophyta; Magnoliopsida; Poales; Poaceae.
AUGUCUGUCCCUUUUGCCCAGGGCCUGGAUUGCAAACUCGAUGCUCCGGCGACUUCAUCUUUGUCAGGACCUGGACUCGACUCACCAGAGUUUCAGGCAAGUCGACUCAACUUGGGGCCUGACAAUCCUCCUCCUUCCGACCACGGGAUCAACGGAGCCAAAAGUACCAAGAGGAGGAACUUGUUGGAAGCACUUGAACAACUUCAGGAGACAGAGUCCAUAGAUCUAGCAGUCUGUGCCUGCUACAUCCCGCAGCAACACCUGAGGAUCCAAUCCAAUCCACCAUUAGAAACGGAUACCACAAUGACCAUAUCACUUAGGCCCCUCCCAAUGCUCCAACCUGUAUCGAUUAAUGAAUUCCCAGCUGAGAAGGGCAUGCUGAUAUCUGUAUUCCUGAAAAAGAUAUUAACAAGAAUCUCUUGCGGGGCAACAACAGUUGGAAAUGACCUAUAUUCUCGGAGUUUUGGUGGCCGUCCGAUCUGGACGGCGAUUCACGCGAGCACACGUGGGGGCUGGGCCUCCGGAGCUGAGGAGGCGGGAGAGAGAUGCGCCGGAGAAGCGGCGAGCCAAUUCUACCGGUGGCCGGUGGUGCGCCCUCCUUCCCUAUUAACUUGGUUCCUUUUGACUAAUGGCCCCCUCUUGAAUUAUUCUCAAGCUCCGCCACUGGUGCGGUGGUCGUCCAACGCCGGCGCCGUCCCGUCCGUGGGUUGGAGUAGAGUCGUCGCAGCUUGUUCUCUCUCUACUAGCUACAUCACUAAGAUGGCAUUGGAAGAAUCCAAGACAGCCGGAAUUUGUUAUUACCUGUGUGCGAUCUUCUCAAUUGUAGACAUUGAAAUAGGCAUUGGGCCUAUUGACAAAUGCGGUAGCGCGAGGCCAAGCAAGGGGGGAGGGGGAGGGACCCCCCUCCCCUCCCCCGGCGAGGCCGACACAGGAAUGAGCCGGAGCAGGCGACGACGCGGCGUGCCGCGUCGUCGCAUGCGGAGGCGAGUCCGUCACAUCCGUGACCCCACUAUCUAUCUUAUGGUGUUUAGGGGUAUAGGGUGCGUGCGGUGGGGGUGGAAACAGAAUAACCGCAUUGCGUCCUGUCAAAUCCUAGCGCGCAGCAAUGCGGUAGCGCGAGGCCGAGCAGGGGGGAGGUGGGUAGGGACCCCCCCUCCCCUCCCCCUGCGAGGCCGAGACAGGAACGAGCCGGACAUGCGGAGGCGAGUCCAUCACAUCCGUGACCCCACUAUCUAUCUUAGGGUGUUUAGGUGUAUUUGCCAUCUAUUUUUGGUUUUAAGGAUAUCAUCAGUGCUGUUAAAACCCCUCUCCCUCUGUUGCUCGCUCUCUCCCCCCUCUCCGUCGCUCCGCUGCCUCCUUCGACUGCAACUCCCCCCGAUUUCUCUGCUCCUGUCCCCUGCCCUUGCGAGUGGAGUAACCGGCGCACUCCCCCGCUCCUAUUUCUCCCCCGCGCCGCGCUCUCCCUCGCCCAGCCCGCUCUCCUCUGCUCUGGAGCGAGGGCGGCAACUGCUUGCACGUGGCGUCGUGGGGAGUGAAAAACCGCCGCAGAUUCGUGCGUGCGCGGGUCGUUUGGAGAGGUACAAACGCUGCCCCCCGCCCCCUCCCCCCAUAAUGCUUGUAUUCACUUUUGCAAGAUCUGUGGAGGCCUGCCUGUUUGCUCUGUUUGAUCUCACGUCUGCCUCCUACCUCCUUUUUCUGAUGGUUGUUCUAGUGUUUGGAGUUGCAUUCAUUGAGGCGGUUGUGUUGUCAUGGCUUCAAAAUCUUCUCCAGAUUAAUCUUGUAUGUAGUAGCACCUCUGUUGGUGAUGAGUUGAAUAGUUCUGAAAAAAAUGUCUACGAUAAAGAUGGAGCUUCAGAAGUUAAUACUGAUGCUCCAAUAUCUGAUGCGGAUAAAUCACCCAUUAUUCCUUUGACUGUGAUUGCUGAGGUUGCUUCGAGCCUUGAGAAUUUUUCAAGCCUUGAGGAUCUUGCUUCUGCAGCUCUUGCUUCACCUAAUGUGUCCACAGAGGAGGAAGCUGUGAACACCAUCAACGAUGUUUUAUCUGAUUUGGGUUUAUCAGAAACCCCUGCUGCUGCUGAGGAGGGGGCUCUGUCAGUCAAAGGUUGUGAUUUCGUUCAGGAUCCUUUGUGCUCUCUUCAGAUGUCAAAGACGCAGUCGCAGUCCGUGGAUGGCACUGAACCUGUCACGCAACCCGAGGAUGUGCCUCUUCAGCUUCUCCUGGAGGACCAACGUAAGAGGAAGAAGCAAGAAGAUUUUGUCAAGAAGAGGGCGGCCCGCCUUAAGAAAGGUUCUGAUGUUCCUGGAUCUGUUCAUGCGGCUGAGCUCACUAUUGAGGAAGACGUGACGUGUGCUAGUGAUGGCACGGUUGUCCCUGUUAAGAAGAAAAUCAAGAAGACUGCUGCGAGGAAGCUAGUAGUUGGUGAAGUUACUCCUCGGAGGAUACCACAUGUUUCAAGGCCUGCAGAAGUUGUUGAAGAUGAAGGGUUAGGCCUUGGUGGUACGCCACGUCGUAGUCCUCGUGUGCUUGCCACUGCUGCGCCUACACCUUCUCCGCUUGGUGCUAGUGCAUCUGGUAAGGGGAAGAAAUGCGGCGUGAAGCGCAAGGUUCCACCUGCAAAGGUCAACAAGGGUGUGAAGAAGCGUUCUCGUGUUAAUCCAGAGGACAAGGAUGAUGAUGAUUUCAAUGUUGAUGAUGAGGACGACGUCGAUGAUGAUACUGCCGCUACUCAGUAUCAGCUUGUGGAGCGGCCUGAGAGGAGGAAGAGAGGAUGCAAAGCGCCCGAAGAAGGUGGCCAAGGAGGAGGUGAGGCGAAACGUUUUAACAAGAUGGUUCGCUGCUCACUAGGAGAGGUGAAGACGUGUGUGAAAAUGCUACAGCUUAAGCACAAGACGAGGGUCAUCAAGGCUGGUUUUGGUUGUGUGUUUGACCUGAAGGUUGAUUCCAACAUUUCUCGUCCUUUGAUGGGCAACAUCUACACAAGGAUUGACCCUGCAAUGAUGAUUCUGGACAUGGGUGAGGCGAACAAGGUUCUGCGUAUUACAAGUGAUGCUAUUCACCAUCUGUUUGGAUUCCCUCAAGGUGUUUUACCUGAUUGUUUUCAUGAAGGUGGUUAUCCCUGGAACAUAUGGACUACUGCCAGUUGGUUGUUGAUGACCUUACGAAGUGCUGUUGUUAGGUAUCAGCAAGGUACUAGCAGAGGAAAAGCUGUCACAGGCUGUGCCAUCGCGCCGCUUCUUAUGUACCUGGACUGCCUUAUCAUUGGCAAGACGCCUAAUGUUGACUUGAGGACGCCUCGCAUCAAUUACAUGGAUCAGGCCAAGCUUCUUGAGCUCGCUGCGGCUGACUUGGUCGGGAAAGGUGAUGACGACCCAGCCAACUGGGUGUUUGGGAGACUACCUUGGAAGACACAGGUUGAGGUUCUGUUCUUUAGGGUUAUCGAACGUCAUGUUCUUACUAUGCCUCGUGCCGCCGGCCUAGAUCCAGGAGGUUCUUCUGCCCGUGUGAGUGCUGCAGGUGGUGUUUCUUCCCAGAGUUUGUUCGAUGCUGCGAAUAUUUCCCUUUCUAGGAUUGAUGGACUUCUGGAAACUGUUUAUGGAGAGAUGGCUCGUGUUCCGACAAUGGUUGAGCGUCUUAGUUGCGUCGAUGGGAUUCUUCCUCCCGGCCACGGUUUUGAUGCUGAGUCUUCGAAGGAGCUAUUGUCGAUUGAAGCUAAAUAUCUUGCUGAGCUUCGUGAGAGCACUUCCCACCUCCGGGCUAGUUUUGUGCUAUUCAAGGAAAUGCAGGACACCCGUUGCAAGCCUUUUGAAGAUGAGGCGAGUAUUGUUGUGAGAGAGAUUCAGAGGCAAGAUCCGGCUGUUGAUGAUGGUGCUGGGGUUAGGGAGGAUGUUUUACCUGUGCAUGAAGAUGAUCCUGUGCAUGAAGUUGCCCCUGUGCAUGAUCCUUGCCCCUCUAGUGAUGUAUUAGUUGAUGAGGUUCGUGGCAGUGAAAAUAAGCAGCAGAAUGAUGAUGUUAGCGUUGCUCCAGAGAAGGCUCCACACAUGUCCGUAUCAGGCACCGGCUGCUUCGACGGGGUGGGCAAGACAACUGGAGACAUUAUUUUGGAGAAAGAUCUUGUUGAAUCUGUUGUACAAACUGGUGGUAGUGCUGCUGCAAGCCCGGAGAAGUCUCCUGCAGCAGAGCCAUCAGUUGAUGUUGAUGCUGUACAGGCACAACCAAAUGUUUUUCUUGUUUCAGAUUCUCCGGUUGCUCCAGCUGCUGGUGUCCUUCCCGACGACGCUGCAACGUCUACUGGAGACGACGAUGAAAAUACCGAAAGCGAUAGCUAUGGAGAGGAGGUUGAUCAUUCCAGUGCUGCCACUGAUAGCGACCUUGUUGUCGUCCGAAAGAAGGUUGAUGACUUUUAUUACAGUGUAACUAGGCUUAGGAAUGAUCGUUCCAAGAGAUCAAUGAUCAUGUUCCAAAACAAGGAGUGUGAAGCUUCUGUUGAAGAUGUCGCAAUAUCUUUUGGUCCUCGCGGAAUGCUUCGGUCUAAUGACAAGAUUUUCAUAGGUCAAUUUGAUUCCCGUGUGAGGAAGUACUUCAUGGCGAGUGGUCCAGAUAGAAUGGAUGCACAUGAUUCGGUUGUUUUCCCUACUUUUGACCCGCCUGAGGUUCCUACUUCCAUGGGUGGUGUCGAUGAAUGUGCGGUACGCCUAUUUCGGCGGAUGACCGACAACAUCAAGAGGCUUUGGAAGGAUGCCAGCAAUGACAGGGAGACACCCUUCAGUCUUCUUACCAUCGACAAUUUCCCUCUGGAUUGGAUUGAUGUCCCCCAACAGCAAAACAAUAUCGACUACGGAUUCUUCAUGCUUACGAAUGUUAAUUCGUAUCAUGACGGGGUUCUUGCAAAUUAUUCCCAUGAGAAUAUCGGGGAUAUCAGGAAGACGUGGCUGUACUCAAUCGCUUCUUCUAACAUGUUUGAGACAGACUUCCAAUCUCUGUUUGGCUACUACACAUUGGAUCCCUUGGAGUUGACCGAUUACCACUACUCAUUCCUCGGGUCACAGGAAUACCAGCCUAGGGAGGAACCGAUGAGUACAGCUCCGAUAGAAGAUGAUAGACCUCGGACCCUCAUUCCUUCCAAGUUGGGGCAGCAGGCUGGUGGUAUUAUUGGUACUCCAAAAAAACCCUGCUAUAGGAAGGCUGAUGCAGUCGAAGCAGCCGAAGCAGAAGUGAUUUCGUCCGAUGAUGAUUUUGAGAAGAUUGCUUACCCGAAGAAUGUUAAACGUGCUGCUGGAACCAUUGCUUGUAGAGGUGGGAAGAAUGCUGUGAUGACCAGGACGAACCCGGCAGUUGAGUCUGGGAACAUAACUAUCUCCAAGCGAGCAUCAAGAUUGCCUUUGAAGUGGCGUUCUCCGGUCGCUCCCCUGAAAAAAUACAGUUACCCUCAUCUAUCCAAGGCCCGGAAGUUGAAACAGACAAGCUACUGCAUGUUUACCAUCCCUGGGAAUGUGAUUGACCUCACAGGACAUGUCCUUUAUACCCUUUUCGGUGAAGGACAGCAGAUGGAAGGAGACAUAAUGGAUUAUCUCAUAAAUUUGUGGAAGGAUAAGCCGGAGACAUCUGAGAUAUUCACUAAUGCUCACAGGGUUAUGAAGAGAUUUGUUGGGUUGCUCGAGGAGGUGUACGGUAAGGCUGCAUACAAGGCGAGCAACUCUUCGUAUGACGGCGAUGAGAUUGUUGAAGAUUUUGGUGAUGUGGAAGCUGCUGCAGAUGACUGGAAGGCUGAGUUCAUGCACACUCUGGUUUUUAGCGAGAAGAAUGAAGUCAUGCGUUCAGAGCUCCCUAAAGAGAUCCAGUCCUUUGGCCCAUGA